GCCCUUAUGGCUCAGGGGUAAAGCGUAUCACUCGUAAUGAUAAGAUCCUCGGUUCAAAUCCGAGUGAGGGCA
This 72-nucleotide transfer RNA is filed under the name Candidatus Bathyarchaeota archaeon. RNAcentral's name for it is "tRNA-Thr". It matches the Rfam family "tRNA". Rfam says of the family: Transfer RNA (tRNA) molecules are approximately 80 nucleotides in length. The record is from RNAcentral. Lineage: Archaea; Thermoproteati; Candidatus Bathyarchaeota.